RNAcentral lists this long non-coding RNA (532 nucleotides) under Triticum aestivum (bread wheat). Its description in RNAcentral is "long non-coding RNA (TAES_LNC008953)". The record is from RNAcentral. Lineage: Eukaryota; Viridiplantae; Streptophyta; Magnoliopsida; Poales; Poaceae.
CAGUGCACACAAAGAUGUCCACAGAAGGUAGCCUUUCUCCGUGCCUUGUUCAAAUGACAAAUUAACCGUGUUAGUGCUGAGCAUGACAAAUAUAUGUUUGAAUGAUGAAGUAUAUGAAGUUAUGAACACAGGUUCUCGGUUAACUGGUUUUUAAAUUCAGUUUUGCUACCCAGGAGAUGCAAAUUGCUCUCUGGUUUGCCAUGAUGGGAGUGGGACGGUGUACCCUAUCAGCUGAUGAGUCCCGGAGGUUGGACCAAACCAGCCAACCGUACUGAAAUUUAAAUUCUGCAGCGUGUUCAGCGCUGAUUUCGACCUGGUGGGUGGUAUGCGUCAUUCAGUCGUAAAUGCAUUUGCUCUAAUGUACUAGGACUUUUUGUAUACAUCAUGCUUAAUAGACAUCACCGUCAGCUUCCAUCAUUUUCACAAGAUUAAUGUACUGUCAAAAGCAGUCUUUGCCUCUCUAACAAAGACACGUAUAAAUCUGAAACUUGGAAAUAACCAAAGUUUUUUUUUUCUUUUGCGGGAAAAUAAC